CCUACGGGUGGCAGCAGUGGGGAAUAUUGGACAAUGGGCGAAAGCCUGAUCCAGCCAUGCCGCGUGUGUGAAGAAGGCCUUCGGGUUGUAAAGCACUUUCAGUGGGGAAGAAAGCCUUGGGGCUAAUACCCUCGAGGAAGGACAUCACCCACAGAAGAAGCACCGGCUAACUCCGUGCCAGCAGCCGCGGUAAUACGGAGGGUGCGAGCGUUAAUCGGAAUUACUGGGCGUAAAGCGCGCGUAGGCGGUCUGAUAAGCCGGUUGUGAAAGCCCCGGGCUCAACCUGGGAACGGCAUCCGGAACUGUCAGGCUAGAGUGCAGGAGAGGAAGGUAGAAUUCCCGGUGUAGCGGUGAAAUGCGUAGAGAUCGGGAGGAAUACCAGUGGCGAAGGCGGCCUUCUGGACUGACACUGACGCUGAGGUGCGAAAGCGUGGGUAGCAAACAGGAUUAGAUACCCCAGUAGAC
This 465-nucleotide ribosomal RNA is filed under the name Vreelandella stevensii. RNAcentral describes it as "partial 16S ribosomal RNA". It matches the Rfam family "Bacterial small subunit ribosomal RNA", at positions 338 to 795 of the family's 1533-position model. The record is from RNAcentral. Lineage: Bacteria; Pseudomonadati; Pseudomonadota; Gammaproteobacteria; Oceanospirillales; Halomonadaceae.